CAGCAGCCGCGGUAAUACAGAGGGUGCGAGCGUUAAUCGGAUUUACUGGGCGUAAAGCGUGCGUAGGCGGCUUCUUAAGUCGGAUGUGAAAUCCCUGAGCUUAACUUAGGAAUUGCAUUCGAUACUGGGAAGCUAGAGUAUGGGAGAGGAUGGUAGAAUUCCAGGUGUAGCGGUGAAAUGCGUAGAGAUCUGGAGGAAUACCGAUGGCGAAGGCAGCCAUCUGGCCUAAUACUGACGCUGAGGUACGAAAGCAUGGGGAGCAAACAGGAUUAGACCCGUGUAGUCCCUGUCUCUUAUACAC
RNAcentral lists this ribosomal RNA (301 nucleotides) under uncultured bacterium. RNAcentral's name for it is "partial 16S ribosomal RNA". It matches the Rfam family "Bacterial small subunit ribosomal RNA", at positions 509 to 809 of the family's 1533-position model. The record is from RNAcentral.